GAUGAACGCUGGCGGCGUGCUUAACACAUGCAAGUCGAACGAAGCUCCUAAACCUGAGAUUCGUCAAGGGGGCAGGAUGACUUAGUGGCGGACGGGUGAGUAAUGCGUGAGCAACCUGCCCUUCAGAGGGGGACAACAGUUGGAAACGACUGCUAAUACCGCAUAAAGUAUUCGGAUGGCAUCAUCUGAAUACCAAAGAUUUAUCGCUGAAGGAUGGGCUCACGUCUGAUUAGCUAGUUGGUAGGGCAACGGCCUACCAAGGCUUCGAUCGGUAGCCGGACUGAGAGGUUGGCCGGCCACAUUGGGACUGAGAUACGGCCCAGACUCCUACGGGAGGCAGCAGUGGGGAAUAUUGGGCAAUGGGCGAAAGCCUGACCCAGCAACGCCGCGUGAAGGAAGAAGGCUUUCGGGUUGUAAACUUCUUUUGGCAGGGACGAAACAAAUGACGGUACCUGCAGAAUAAGCUCCGGCUAACUACGUGCCAGCAGCCGCGGUAAAACG
Molecule: ribosomal RNA, 501 nt
Filed under: uncultured bacterium
Lineage: Bacteria
Description: bacterial SSU rRNA
Rfam family: Bacterial small subunit ribosomal RNA
Source: RNAcentral